CCUACGGGUGGCAGCAGUGAGGAAUAUUGGUCAAUGGACGAGAGUCUGAACCAGCCAAGUCGCGUGAAGGAUGACUGCCCUAUGGGUUGUAAACUUCUUUUAUAUGGGAAUAAAAUGUUCCACGUGUGGGAUUUUGUAUGUACCCUAUGAAUAAGGAUCGGGUAAAUCCGUGCCAGCAGCCGCGGUAAUACGGAGGAUCGGAGCGUUAUCCGGAUUUAUUGGGUUUAAAGGGAGCGUAGGGGGAUUGUUCAAUCAGGUGUGAAAGUUUGCGGCUCAACCGUAGAAUUGCAGUUGAAACUGGCAGUCUUGAGUACACUAGAGGUGUGCGGAAUUCGUGGUGUAGCGGUGAAAUGCUUAGAUAUCACGAAGAACUCCGAUUGCGAAGGCAGCUCACUGGCCCGCAACUGACACUGAGGCUCGAAAGUGUGGGUAUCAAACAGGAUUAGAUACCCGAGUAGUC
Molecule: ribosomal RNA, 460 nt
Filed under: uncultured bacterium
Lineage: Bacteria
Description: partial 16S ribosomal RNA
Rfam family: Bacterial small subunit ribosomal RNA
Source: RNAcentral